GUUUUAUGCCACAUUGUGUUCAUUCAGACAUUAAGAUGUACUUAUCGUGAGCAGUGAUACUGAUGCUCUGGAUGUGUGCCACUCAUAGAGGUUUGUGAGAUCAUCAGAACCAGAAACACAUCUUCCAGGAGCUGUUGAGGUCUCCUUGAUCCUGCCUAGACUUGCCUCCUCCCUGAAGAUCCACUGUCAUACCAACAAUGCCUUCUGAAAGCCUCACAGAAAACCGCACUAACACUGAAAGCAGUAAGGCGUAGGAGGGAGAUCAGCAGUUGGAUCUGCAAAGCAGUUCUCCUAUGGAGUCUGGACAUCACCCACAUUCUGAGCCAGCACCUGCUUCUAGAGAACCAAGUGCAAAGUCUGGGAAUCAACGUUAAUUAUGGAUUAUUGAGAAGAAGAUGUUUUCUGGUUGUGUCAUGCAUACCCUUUAAACACUGCUUCAGAGUUCCGGCUCAAAAUUAAGUUCACAAAUAUAAAGCAAGACCUUGACCUAAAUUUUCACUACGGAUGUUGAAGAUGUCACAUGUUUUGCCUAUUAGUACAGAAUUAGAGAAAACACGUCAUUUAAAAUUAAGUAGUCAA
This 579-nucleotide long non-coding RNA is filed under the name Numida meleagris (helmeted guineafowl). RNAcentral describes it as "lncRNA (ENSNMEG00000011740.1)". Lineage: Eukaryota; Metazoa; Chordata; Aves; Galliformes; Numididae. The record is from RNAcentral.